UUGACCUCGGAUCAGGUAGGAAUACCCGCUGAACUUAAGCAUAUCAAUAAGCGGAGGAAAAGAAACCAACAGGGAUUGCCCUAGUAACGGCGAGUGAAGCGGCAACAGCUCAAAUUUGAAAUCUGGCCUCGGCCCGAGUUGUAAUUUGUAGAGGAUGCUUCGGGCGCGGCGCCUUCCAAGUCCCCUGGAACGGGGCGCCAGAGAGGGUGAGAGCCCCGUACUGUCGGCCGCCAAGCCUGUGUGAAGCUCCUUCGACGAGUCGAGUAGUUUGGGAAUGCUGCUCAAAAUGGGAGGUAGACCCCUUCUAAAGCUAAAUACCGGCCAGAGACCGAUAGCGCACAAGUAGAGUGAUCGAAAGAUGAAAAGCACUUUGAAAAGAGGGUUAAACAGCACGUGAAAUUGUUGAAAGGGAAGCGCUCGUGACCAGACUUGCGCCGGGCCGAUCAUCUGGCGUUCUCGCCAGUGCACUCGACCCGGCUCAGGCCAGCGUCGGUUCGCGCGGGGGGAUAAAGGCGUCGGGCACGUGGCUCCUCCGGGAGUGUUAUAGCCCGGCGCGUCAUGUCCCCGCGCGGACCGAGGUUCGCGCUCUGCAAGGACGCUGGCGUAAUGGUUACUAGCGACCCGUCUUGAAACACGGACCAAGGAGUCGAGGUUCUGCGCGAGUGUUUGGGUGUCAAACCCGCACGCGUAAUGAAAGUGAACGUAGGUGGGAGCUUCGGCGCACCACCGACCGAUCCUGAUGUUCUCGGAUGGAUUUGAGUAGGAGCGUGGGGCCUCGGACCCGAAAGAUGGUGAACUAUGCUUGGAUAGGGUGAAGUCAGAGGAAACUCUGAUGGAGGCUCGCAGCGGUUCUGACGUGCAAAUCGAUCGUCAAAUCUGAGCAUGGGGGCGAAAGACUAAUCGAACCAUCUAGUAGCUGGUUACCGCCGAAGUUUCCCUCAGGAUAGCAGUGUUGUCUUCAGUUUUAUGAGGUAAAGCGAAUGAUUAGGGACUCGGGGGCGCCAUAUUGCCUUCAUCCAUUCUCAAACUUUAAAUAUGUAAGAAGCCCUUGUUACUUAAUUGAACGUGGGCACUCGAAUGCAUCAACACUAGUGGGCCAUUUUUGGUAAGCAGAACUGGCGAUGUGGGAUGAACCAUACGCGGGGUUAAGGUGCCGGAGUGGACGCUCAUCAGACACCA
RNAcentral lists this ribosomal RNA (1179 nucleotides) under Curvichaeta curvispora. RNAcentral describes it as "eukaryotic LSU rRNA". It matches the Rfam family "Eukaryotic large subunit ribosomal RNA", at positions 1 to 1214 of the family's 3401-position model. The record is from RNAcentral. Lineage: Eukaryota; Fungi; Ascomycota; Sordariomycetes; Chaetosphaeriales; Chaetosphaeriaceae.